Molecule: long non-coding RNA, 1137 nt
Filed under: Anser brachyrhynchus (Pink-footed goose)
Lineage: Eukaryota; Metazoa; Chordata; Aves; Anseriformes; Anatidae
Description: lncRNA (ENSABRG00000007697.1)
Source: RNAcentral
NNNNNNNNNNNNNNNNNNNNNNNNNNNNNNNNNNNNNNNNNNNNNNNNNCCAGCCCUCCUCCAGCAGCAGGGAGGAACACGGGGCAGCCCCUGGCCUCACUGCCCCUCAUUCCUGUGCUGCUCCUGCAGGACCAAGGAGAGGUGAUGCAGGAGUGUCUGGAGAAGAGCAGGAGCACCACAGGGCUGGGGAUGGGGUCUACAAGGUGCUGUCCCUCAGGCACAGCUGUAUUCGCUGUGUCUCCAGACGGAACCAGGGGCGGAUGCUCUCCCCAUUGAAGGAGGCUGCUGUGAAAGUGAAGAUCUCCACCCCAUUGUCAGCAUUGAUAAAAGACACCUGCUGCUGGGUACAGUCGAGACAGACCCAGAUCCUCGUGGGGACAGGGGACAGAGAGAAGAGGGUGCGAGGAGACGUGAGAGACAUGAGCUUCCCCUUAUAGUACUCCACAGCCCAGAUCCCUUCUUCAGGGCUCAUGUUGAUCCACCCCUUCCUCUUCACAGAUGCCCUGGCCACCCCCACAGCCCACCAAGAAAACUUGAGCCACUCCCCCUCCCCCUCCACCAACCAGCAGUGCCUCCCCUCUCUGAACUCCUCACGGCCCAGCACGCAGCACCAACAGUCAAAUCUUUCCCAGUAGUCCAGGACCUGCUGUCGUUCAGUUUCCCAUCUCACACUCUUGUCUUCCUCCAAAAGGAUGAGUUGUGGGUGAGCCGUGUUCGGAUCCAGGGUCACCUUCACUGCAGGGACAGAAGGAGCCAGGGCAUCAGGGACAGAGCUCAGCCCUGGGCAGGCUUUCCCCAGCUCGGGGCCAGGAGCUGCCCCACGGGGCAGGAGAUGGGGCACCUCUUGGCUCCUGAACAUGCCCCAGCAAGGGCAGGAGAGGCACUGCAGAGGGUAACUCAUUGCACACCUACCUCUAUCAUGAGACAUCAGAAACCUUCUCCAUGCUGGAAGGAGAGGGGAGAGCUGGUCACAGCCCACGGCCGGGGCCCAGUGGGUGUGGGUAGGGUGAGGGUCCAGCCCUGGGCUGCUCUGUCCCAGCUGCCCACCCUCCCCUGCACAUCACCUUGGUAUUGACCUGGGGCCCAAGCAUUGGGACACUCACCCAGCUCUGCAGCUUGUUUCUCUACAAAUGAAAC